UCCGGCUCCCGCGCGGGGCGAGGACGCAUCCGCCUUUCGGGAGGGAGCCUGCCUCAGCGCUCGUAUAUGGCAAAGUUUCUCGCCGAGCUCCUGGGCUGCACGUUGCCGAGCAAGGGCGCCUCUCCCAUGUUUGAGUCCAAAAGUCACUCCCGAGUUGGCCUGAAAUCAAGCACGAAGCAAAAGACCACCAUUUUCAGCACAUUGGCCAGUGAAAAGUCCUUAUCUGACUGCAAAAAGGAUGGUUUGAUGGGGUGAGCUCUUAAAAGAAACCGGAUUGUAGUAUUUGAAGAACAGCUAGUGUGUAAGAGUAGAACCUAAAACUGAAACAAAGAUUCUGCCACAUCAAGAGUCACUAACAAUAAGUAACAACUCAGCAGAGCUGUUUGGCUGGUGAGGAAACUGAGUCACAGAGAGGAAACUGAUAAAGGAAGAAAAAGGCCACCUGACACCCAAUAGGGCAAGAGAACAUAGUCCCGCCAUUGUUAAAAUAAGCUGCAAGUGACAAUAACCGACAGGUAGAGAUGAAAGGUAAGAAGGGCAUCCGGGAAAAACAAGCAAGAAACUGGAGAAACAACCUUUUUAAGGGGGAAGAAAAGACUAGUCUUGAAGAAAGGUAAGAACUAGGCUGAAAGUCUAUAAAAUUAGACCGAUAUUUGCUCAGUAAAGGGACUUGAAAGCUAAAGGACAAUCUCUAAAUCUUGAAAAGAAAACACAUCUGGUCAUGCUCAAGUCAGCCCAAUAAUUACCAACCUUGAAGAGGCAUUGAGAAAAAGGGAGCGCAGGAGAGGGGGAGAGAGCACAACCCUCAGGGCAAUGAUGGGGCGCAGGAAGCUGAAGAGCUGUGCUGUUGCCUGUCCGGUGCUGGCCAUCUGUCAUGGUCCUUAAACCCUCAAGGCUUUGGCUCCCACACCCCAAAACUCUCUCAUCUUCUGUGGGGUCCAUGGAGAGAAGUUAACCAGGCUCCCACUCCCCUGGCAAGCAGUCUGUUGUUACAUAUAUGUUCACAUGGAGGCCCUGUCUUCUAUGAGAAGCUGUUAUUUAUGUAUGCCUAUGUAAGCUGAAUCAGCUUAACCAACCUACUAGAGGUCCAAGGCCAUUCCUAGAAGGUGUCUUUCUCUGUCCCUGCCCUCACCUGGCCUCUUCCCUGCUUUCUGCUGUCACCUUCGAGGCAGGUCCCCUAUCUUGAAUCUUAUGAACAGAAACGGUCCACAUACAAGGGCUCUCUUUGCCUCACGAUUCUCAACAAGAGACACUGUUGCCAAGAACUGGGCCAACAAAAAUACAAAGACGUUUUUCAACCAGGCAAAAAUAUGCAAACAAACUGGUUU
RNA transcript from Ailuropoda melanoleuca (giant panda), 1328 nucleotides. RefSeq lists it as uncharacterized. The transcript is spliced from 6 exons. NCBI's taxonomy places the organism in Eukaryota, Metazoa, Chordata, Mammalia, Carnivora, Ursidae. The record is from RefSeq and is a predicted model, not a curated record.